Molecule: ribosomal RNA, 468 nt
Filed under: uncultured bacterium
Lineage: Bacteria
Description: partial 16S ribosomal RNA
Rfam family: Bacterial small subunit ribosomal RNA
Source: RNAcentral
GACGAACGCUGGCGGCGUGCUUAACACAUGCAAGUCGAACGGAAAGGCCCUGCUUUUGUGGGGUGCUCGAGUGGCGAACGGGUGAGUAACACGUGAGUAACCUGCCCUUGACUUUGGGAUAACUUCGGGAAACUGGGGCUAAUACCGGAUAGGAGCUCCUGCUGCAUGGUGGGGGUUGGAAAGUUUCGGCGGUUGGGGAUGGACUCGCGGCUUAUCAGCUUGUUGGUGGGGUAGUGGCUUACCAAGGCUUUGACGGGUAGCCGGCCUGAGAGCGUGACCGGCCACAUUGGGACUGAGAUACGGCCCAGACUCCUACGGGAGGCAGCAGUGGGGAAUAUUGCACAAUGGGCGGAAGCCUGAUGCAGCAACGCCGCGUGCGGGAUGACGGCCUUCGGGUUGUAAACCGCUUUCGCCUGUGACGAAGCGUGAGUGACGGUAAUGGGUAAAGAAGCACCGGCUAACUACGUG